Molecule: non-coding RNA, 21 nt
Filed under: Caenorhabditis elegans
Lineage: Eukaryota; Metazoa; Nematoda; Chromadorea; Rhabditida; Rhabditidae
Source: RNAcentral
UACAUGCUUAACAUUACGCCC